AGUGAACGCUGGCGGUAGGCCUAACACAUGCAAGUCGAACGGCAGCACAGUAAGAGCUUGCUCUUACGGGUGGCGAGUGGCGGACGGGUGAGGAAUACAUCGGAAUCUACUUUUUCGUGGGGGAUAACGUAGGGAAACUUACGCUAAUACCGCAUACGACCUACGGGUGAAAGCAGGGGAUCUUCGGACCUUGCGCGAUUGAAUGAGCCGAUGUCGGAUUAGCUAGUUGGCGGGGUAAAGGCCCACCAAGGCGACGAUCCGUAGCUGGUCUGAGAGGAUGAUCAGCCACACUGGAACUGAGACACGGUCCAGGGUCCUACGGGAGGCAGCAGUGGGGAAUAUUGGACAAUGGGCGCAAGCCUGAUCCAGCCAUACCGCGUGGGUGAAGAAGGCCUUCGGGUUGUAAAGCCCCUUUGUUGGGAAAGAAAAGCAGCAGGUUAAUACCCCGCUGUUCUGACGGUACCCAAAGAAUAAGCACCGGCGAACUUCGU
RNAcentral lists this ribosomal RNA (491 nucleotides) under uncultured bacterium. RNAcentral's name for it is "partial 16S ribosomal RNA". It matches the Rfam family "Bacterial small subunit ribosomal RNA", at positions 29 to 506 of the family's 1533-position model. The record is from RNAcentral.